This 514-nucleotide ribosomal RNA is filed under the name bacterium enrichment culture clone ALO1_GLFRUDD03F2TO0. Its description in RNAcentral is "bacterial SSU rRNA". It matches the Rfam family "Bacterial small subunit ribosomal RNA", at positions 9 to 520 of the family's 1533-position model. The record is from RNAcentral.
GAGUUUGAUCUUGGCUCAGAUUGAACGCUGGCGGCAGGCCUAACACAUGCAAGUCGAGCGGAUGACGGGAGCUUGCUCCUUGAUUCAGCGGCGGACGGGUGAGUAAUGCCUAGGAAUCUGCCUGGUAGUGGGGGACAACGUUUCGAAAGGAACGCUAGUACCGCAUACGUCCUACGGGAGAAAGCAGGGGACCUUCGGGCCUUGCGCUAUCAGAUGAGCCUAGGUCGGAUUAGCUAGUUGGUGGGGUAAUGGCUCACCAAGGCGACGAUCCGUAACUAGUCUGAGAGGAUGAUCAGUCACACUGGAACUGAGACACGGUCCAGACUCCUACGGGAGGCAGCAGUGGGGAAUAUUGGACAAUGGGCGAAAGCCUGAUCCAGCCAUGCCGCGUGUGUGAAGAAGGUCUUCGGAUUGUAAAGCACUUUAAGUUGGGAGGAAGGGCAGUAAGUUAAUAACCUUGCUGUUUUGACGUUACCGACAGAAUAAGCACCGGCUAACUCUGUGCCAGCCGCGA